RNAcentral lists this ribosomal RNA (442 nucleotides) under uncultured bacterium. RNAcentral's name for it is "partial 16S ribosomal RNA". It matches the Rfam family "Bacterial small subunit ribosomal RNA", at positions 338 to 795 of the family's 1533-position model. The record is from RNAcentral.
CCUACGGGUGGCAGCAGUGGGGAAUAUUGGGCAAUGGGCGCAAGCCUGACCCAGCAACGCCGCGUGAAGGAAGAAGGCUUUCGGGUUGUAAACUUCUUUUGUCAGGGAAGAGUAGAAGACGGUACCUGACGAAUAAGCAACGGCUAAAUACGUGCCAGCAGCCGCGGUAAUACGUAGGUGGCAAGCGUUGUCCGGAUUUACUGGGUGUAAAGGGCGUGUAGCCGGGUUGACAAGUAAGAUGUGAAAUCCUGCGGCUUAACCGCAGAACUGCAUUGGAAACUGUUGAUCUUGAGUACUGGAGAGGCAGAUGGAAUUCCUAGUGUAGCGGUGAAAUGCGUAGAUAUUAGGAGGAACACCAGUGGCGAAGGCGGUCUGCUGGACAGCAACUGACGGUGAGGCGCGAAAGCGUGGGGAGCAAACAGGAUUAGAUACCCGUGUAGUC